RNAcentral lists this ribosomal RNA (516 nucleotides) under Vibrio maritimus. RNAcentral's name for it is "bacterial SSU rRNA". It matches the Rfam family "Bacterial small subunit ribosomal RNA", at positions 39 to 526 of the family's 1533-position model. Lineage: Bacteria; Pseudomonadati; Pseudomonadota; Gammaproteobacteria; Vibrionales; Vibrionaceae. The record is from RNAcentral.
UGAUAGUCGAACGGCGGCUCAACACAGCAAUCGAGCGGAAACGAGUUAACUGAACUUCGGGGGAACGUUAACGGCGUCGAGCGGCGGACGGGUGAGUAAUGCCUGGGAAAUUGCCCUGAUGUGGGGGAUAACCAUUGGAAACGAUGGCUAAUACCGCAUAAUAGCUUCGGCUCAAAGAGGGGGACCUUCGGGCCUCUCGCGUCAGGAUAUGCCCAGGUGGGAUUAGCUAGUUGGUGAGGUAAUGGCUCACCAAGGCGACGAUCCCUAGCUGGUCUGAGAGGAUGAUCAGCCACACUGGAACUGAGACACGGUCCAGACUCCUACGGGAGGCAGCAGUGGGGAAUAUUGCACAAUGGGCGCAAGCCUGAUGCAGCCAUGCCGCGUGUGUGAAGAAGGCCUUCGGGUUGUAAAGCACUUUCAGCAGUGAGGAAGGUGGUGUCGUUAAUAGCGGCAUCAUUUGACGUUAGCUGCAGAAGAAGCACCGGCUAACUCCGUGCCAGCAGCCGCGGUUAAUAA